RNAcentral lists this ribosomal RNA (253 nucleotides) under uncultured bacterium. RNAcentral describes it as "partial 16S ribosomal RNA". It matches the Rfam family "Bacterial small subunit ribosomal RNA", at positions 524 to 776 of the family's 1533-position model. The record is from RNAcentral.
GACGUAGGGCGCGAGCGUUGUCCGGAUUUAUUGGGCGUAAAGAGCUCGUAGGCGGCUUGUCGCGUCGGCCGUGAAAUCUCCACGCUUAACGUGGAGCGUGCGGUCGAUACGGGCAGACUUGAGUUCGGUAGGGGAGACUGGAAUUCCUGGUGUAGCGGUGAAAUGCGCAGAUAUCAGGAGGAACACCGGUGGCGAAGGCGGGUCUCUGGGCCGAUACUGACGCUGAGGAGCGAAAGCGUGGGGAGCGAACAGG